RNAcentral lists this ribosomal RNA (429 nucleotides) under Pseudomonadota bacterium. RNAcentral describes it as "Proteobacteria bacterium partial 16S ribosomal RNA". It matches the Rfam family "Bacterial small subunit ribosomal RNA", at positions 355 to 776 of the family's 1533-position model. Lineage: Bacteria; Pseudomonadati; Pseudomonadota. The record is from RNAcentral.
UGGGGAAUAUUGGACAAUGGGCGAAAGCCUGAUCCAGCCAUGCCGCGUGUGUGAAGAAGGUCUUCGGAUUGUAAAGCACUUUAAGUUGGGAGGAAGGGCAGUAAGCGAAUACCUUGCUGUUUUGACGUUACCGACAGAAUAAGCACCGGCUAACUCUGUGCCAGCAGCCGCGGUAAUACAGAGGGUGCAAGCGUUAAUCGGAAUUACUGGGCGUAAAGCGCGCGUAGGUGGUUCGUUAAGUUGAAUGUGAAAGCCCCGGGCUCAACCUGGGAACUGCAUCCAAAACUGGCGAGCUAGAGUAGGGCAGAGGGUGGUGGAAUUUCCUGUGUAGCGGUGGAAUGCGUAGAUAUAGGAAGGAACACCAGUGGCGAAGGCGACCACCUGGGCUCAUACUGACACUGAGGUGCGAAAGCGUGGGGAGCAAACAGG